This 253-nucleotide ribosomal RNA is filed under the name uncultured bacterium. RNAcentral describes it as "partial 16S ribosomal RNA". It matches the Rfam family "Bacterial small subunit ribosomal RNA", at positions 524 to 776 of the family's 1533-position model. The record is from RNAcentral.
UACGUAGGGUGCGAGCGUUGUCCGGAAUUAUUGGGCGUAAAGAGCUCGUCGGCGGCUUGUCGCGUCGGAUGUGAAAGCCCGGGGCUUAACCCCGGGUCUGCAUUCGAUACGGGCAGGCUAGAGUUCGGUAGGGGAGACUGGAAUUCCUGGUGUAGCGGUGAAAUGCGCAGAUAUCAGGAGGAACACCGGUGGCGAAGGCGGGUCUCUGGGCCGAUACUGACGCUGAGGAGCGAAAGCGUGGGGAGCGAACAGG